UGAUCAUGGAAGGAUGCGUGGAGACGAAGCCUCUGUCAGUGUGGGUUGCUGUUGGACUCCAUGAUCAGAGACUCUCUGCCCACGUAUUUUUCUUCUUCAUGCACAGACAGGCACCAAUUUGAAGCUUAAUGACAGCAGAAACAGAGAACAACUACUCCACAUUGGCAGCACGUUGGAUGGUGCCCAUGCACAUGGAGGGUGAGUCUUCCUCUCCCAGUCUACUGACUCAAAUGUCAGUCUCCUCUGGCAACACCCUCGCAGACAAAGCCAGAAACAAUACUUCACCAGCUACCUAGGCAUCCCUCAAUCCAGUCAAGUUGACACCCAGUAUUAACCAUCACAGCCCUUAACAACAGAGUUAGCUUGUCUUUGAAACUUUGAAGCCCAGCGUUGAUGUCUCCUCUCUAGCUAUGAAAGUCCUAGAUUGGAUCUUCUUCAAUAAAUGGAUAUUUUGUUUACACUGAAAGUCUGUUUUUGUAGUCUCCUUGAUCAAUUUUCUUAGCUAGAUCUUCUUAAUCACUUGCUGAAGCUUCUCCAACAGAACUUUCUGCUUCUCCUUGCAUUUUUAUGUUAUGGAGAUGGCUUCUUUCAUUAAACCUCAUGAACCAAUCUCUGCCAGUUUCCAACUUUUCUUUUCCAGCUUCCUAUCCUCUCAGCCUUCAUCAUAUUGCAGAGUUACAGCCUUGCUCUGGAUGAGGCUUUGGCUUAAGGGAAUCUUGUGGCUGACUUCAUCUUCUACUCAGACAACUAAUCCUUUCUCUAUCUCAGCAGUGAGGCUGUUUUGCUUUAUCAUUCCUGUGUUCACUGGAGUAGCACUUUUAAUUUCCUUCAAGAAUUUUUCCUUUG
This 846-nucleotide long non-coding RNA is filed under the name Homo sapiens (human). RNAcentral's name for it is "HSALNT0064421". Lineage: Eukaryota; Metazoa; Chordata; Mammalia; Primates; Hominidae. The record is from RNAcentral.